GAUGAACGCUAGCGACAGGCUUAACACAUGCAAGUCGAGGGGCAGCACAGGUAGCAAUACCGGGUGGCGACCGGCGCACGGGUGAGUAACGCGUAUGCAACUUGCCUAUCAGAGGGGGAUAACCCGGCGAAAGUCGGACUAAUACCGCAUGAAGCAGGGAUCCCGCAUGGGAAUAUUUGCUAAAGAUUCAUCGCUGAUAGAUAGGCAUGCGUUCCAUUAGGCAGUUGGCGGGGUAACGGCCCACCAAACCGACGAUGGAUAGGGGUUCUGAGAGGAAGGUCCCCCACAUUGGUACUGAGACACGGACCAAACUCCUACGGGAGGCAGCAGUGAGGAAUAUUGGUCAAUGGCCGAGAGGCUGAACCAGCCAAGUCGCGUGAGGGAUGAAGGUUCUAUGGAUCGUAAACCUCUUUUAUAAGGGAAUAAAGUGCGGGACGUGUCCCGUUUUGUAUGUACCUUAUGAAUAAGGAUCGGCUAACUCCGUGCCAGCAGCCGCGGUAAUACGGAGGAUCCGAGCGUUAUCCGGAUUUAUUGGGUUUAAAGGGUGCGUAGGCGGCCUUUUAAGUCAGCGGUGAAAGUCUGUGGCUCAACCAUAGAAUUGCCGUUGAAACUGGGGGGCUUGAGUAUGUUUGAGGCAGGCGGAAUGCGUGGUGUAGCGGUGAAAUGCAUAGAUAUCACGCAGAACCCCGAUUGCGAAGGCAGCCUGCCAAGCCAUUACUGACGCUGAUGCACGAAAGCGUGGGGAUCAAACAGGAUUAGAUACCCUGGUAGUCCACGCAGUAAACGAUGAUCACUAGCUGUUUGCGAUACACUGUAAGCGGCACAGCGAAAGCGUUAAGUGAUCCACCUGGGGAGUACGCCGGCAACGGUGAAACUCAAAGGAAUUGACGGGGGCCCGCACAAGCGGAGGAACAUGUGGUUUAAUUCGAUGAUACGCGAGGAACCUUACCCGGGUUUGAACGCAUUCGGACCGAGGUGGAAACACCUUUUCUAGCAAUAGCCGUUUGCGAGGUGCUGCAUGGUUGUCGUCAGCUCGUGCCGUGAGGUGUCGGCUUAAGUGCCAUAACGAGCGCAACCCUUGCCACUAGUUACUAACAGGUAAAGCUGAGGACUCUGGUGGGACUGCCAGCGUAAGCUGCGAGGAAGGCGGGGAUGACGUCAAAUCAGCACGGCCCUUACAUCCGGGGCGACACACGUGUUACAAUGGCGUGGACAAAGGGAGGCCACCUGGCGACAGGGAGCGAAUCCCCAAACCACGUCUCAGUUCGGAUCGGAGUCUGCAACCCGACUCCGUGAAGCUGGAUUCGCUAGUAAUCGCGCAUCAGCCAUGGCGCGGUGAAUACGUUCCCGGGCCUUGUACACACCGCCCGUCAAGCCAUGGGAGCCGGGGGUACCUGAAGUCCGUAACCGCGAGGAUCGGCCUAGGGUAAAACUGGUGACUGGGGCUAAGUCAUA
This 1455-nucleotide ribosomal RNA is filed under the name uncultured organism. Its description in RNAcentral is "SSU rRNA". It matches the Rfam family "Bacterial small subunit ribosomal RNA". The record is from RNAcentral.